UACGUAGGGGGCAAGCGUUGUCCGGAUUUAUUGGGCGUAAAGAGCGUGUAGGCGGUUUGGUAGGUCCGCUGUGAAAACUCGAGGCUCAACCUCGAGACGCCGGUGGAAACCAUCAGACUAGAGUCCGGAAGAGGAGAGUGGAAUUCCUGGUGUAGCGGUGAAAUGCGCAGAUAUCAGGAGGAACACCGGUGGCGAAGGCGGGUCUCUGGGCCGUAACUGACGCUGAGGAGCGAAAGCGUGGGGAGCGAACAGG
This 253-nucleotide ribosomal RNA is filed under the name uncultured bacterium. RNAcentral's name for it is "partial 16S ribosomal RNA". It matches the Rfam family "Bacterial small subunit ribosomal RNA", at positions 524 to 776 of the family's 1533-position model. The record is from RNAcentral.